RNAcentral lists this ribosomal RNA (774 nucleotides) under uncultured Neocallimastigales. RNAcentral's name for it is "partial large subunit ribosomal RNA". It matches the Rfam family "Eukaryotic large subunit ribosomal RNA", at positions 23 to 645 of the family's 3401-position model. The record is from RNAcentral. Lineage: Eukaryota; Fungi; Neocallimastigomycota; Neocallimastigomycetes; Neocallimastigales.
AGAGAUGUGUGAUGACGCAUAUCAAUAAGCGGAGGAAAAGAAACUAACAUGGAUUCCCUUAGUAACGGCGAGUGAAGCGGGAAGAGCUCAAAUUUGAAAUCUUCAAGGUUCUACCUUGACGAAUUGUAGUUUAUAGAAGUGUUUUCUGUUAGUAGAGUGGCAAAAGUUCUUUGGAAUAGGACAUCAUAGAGGGUGAGAAUCCCGUAUUUGGUCAUUCCUUCUAGCGUUGUGAUACACUUUCAACGAGUCGGAUUGUUUGGGAAUGCAGUCCAAAAUGGGUGGUAAAUUUCAUCUAAAGCUAAAUAUUGGCGAGAGACCGAUAGCGAACAAGUACCGUGAGGGAAAGAUGAAAAGAACUUUGAAAAGAGAGUUAAACAGUACGUGAAAUUGUCAAAAGGGAAGCGUUUGACACCAGUGUUGUUUUUCCGAAAAUCAAUUACGAAUGUUUUGUUUUUAAGGAGUUAUGACUUCAUCAGCUUGCUUCUCUCUUUACGAAACUUUCUUAAUGCACUUUUCGGUUAACAAGUCAACAUCAAUUUCUUUUGUUGUAAAAGGGUAUGAGGAAGGUGGCUUUCUUUUCGGAGAAAGUGUUUAUAGCCUUGUACCUCUGCAAUCGGAGAGAUUGAGGUCUGCAGCGUAGAUCCUUCGGGGUUAGAUACAUUUGUGCUAAGUUAUAGCUUUUCAUAGACAACUUGUUGACUAUGUUAAGUCUUGUAGCUUACUCGCUUAUGCUAUUUUACCUACGCUUAGGAUGUUGAAGUCAUCGUAUCGCGC